RNA transcript from Homo sapiens (human), 1899 nucleotides. It is a transcript of the gene named HD domain containing 3, with no coding region annotated. NCBI's taxonomy places the organism in Eukaryota, Metazoa, Chordata, Mammalia, Primates, Hominidae. The record is from RefSeq and is marked validated. The transcript has 4 exons.
AUCCGCGCGAUGGGCUCUGAGGCGGCGCAGCUGCUGGAGGCUGCCGACUUCGCGGCUCGCAAGCACCGGCAGCAGCGGCGGAAGGACCCCGAGGGGACCCCCUACAUCAACCACCCCAUCGGUGGGCGCGUCGGCCGCGGAGCGCCGGCUGCGGCACCUGGGUGGUGUGGCACGGAUCCUGACCCACGAGGCGGGAAUCACUGACAUUGUGGUGUUACAGGCGGCCCUGCUCCAUGACACGGUGGAGGACACAGACACCACCCUGGAUGAGGUGGAGCUACACUUUGGGGCACAAGUGCGGCGCCUGGUGGAGGAGGUAACAGAUGACAAGACUCUGCCCAAGCUGGAGAGAAAGAGGCUGCAGGUGGAGCAAGCGCCCCACAGUAGCCCCGGGGCCAAACUGGUGAAGCUGGCAGACAAGCUGUACAAUCUGAGGGACCUGAAUCGCUGCACCCCAGAGGGAUGGUCAGAACAUCGAGUCCAGGAAUACUUCGAGUGGGCAGCGCAGGUGGUGAAGGGGCUUCAGGGAACAAACCGGCAACUGGAAGAGGCUCUAAAGCAUCUGUUCAAGCAGCGGGGGCUGACAAUCUGAUCAGUGCUUGAAGCUAUCCAGAGGCACAACUCCAGCCUCGUUCAGGCCGGACAGGAUUCAUACGCCAUCUUUUCUGUGUCUCCUGAGCUCCCUCCAUCCUUCCCAGAUAUUAGAGGCCAAAAAAAGACUUGCAUUUUUUCUCAGUCUGAAGGUCUCCUGCUAACUAAGCUGAGCCCCGCGUGGUGGGAAUCAGAUGUACCCAUCCAUUUCUGAUGCACUCACCGCCUCUCCCCAAGUCUUGGGUCUGUUUGCUAUUUUGCAUGGUGGGAUCUCUGGCCCCUCAGGGACUUGAGAUUAUUUAAGUACUAGUUCCUAACACGUUCUGGAAAAUAAAAAUAACUCUGGGUUAAGGUUUAAGCUGCUGCUGCUCCUUCUCCAGCCUCCGACUGGUGGGCUGCAUAUCUUUCCUUCAGCAAAGCAGGACUAAUUGUGUGUCCCGGAGUCACCUCCCUCAGGUUGCGGGCCUCAACCCCUCCGAACCUGGCUUCCUUGUCAGUGACAUGGGUUGUGUAAUUAUCAGGUUAGACUGUGACGUGCCUGAUGGAGCCUGACACAUAGGUGCUCAAGAAAUGGUAGCAGCCUUUCCCGUUAAGAAAGUUGGAAGGGGGCCAGGCGCGGUGUCUCUCGCCUGUAAUCCCAGCACUCUGGGAGACCGAGGCGGGCGGAUCACUUGAGGUCAGGAGUUCAAGACCAGCCUGGCCAGCAUGGCGAGGCCCCGUCUCUACUAAAAAUACAAAAAAAAAUUAGCCGGGCGCAGUGGCUCGCGCCUGUAAUCCCAGCUACUCAGGAGGCUGAGGCAGGAGACUCGCUUGAACCCGGGAGGCGGAGUUUGUACUGAGCCGAGAUCGCGCCACUGCACUCCAGCUUGGGUGACACAGCGAGACUCCGUCUCAAAAAUGAAAAAAGAAAAGACGUAUCGGAAGGGAGUGCCGCCCGCUUACUGACAACCACUGCUGGGCACCGGAGAGACCCCAGCAGCAACAUGAUUGGGCCGGUGGGGGAUUCCGGUUCCCCAGUACCUCAAGCCGCGCGGGAAACUCGGUGACUCGCAAUCCCCUCGCCCUUCCGCAUUGCGGGUUACUUCGGUUGUUAAGUGACAGGGACUUCCGGGAAGGCCCGGAAGUGGCCCGGGGCUGUCCGACCCCGGGAGCCCGGCGGUCGGCGUAGGGGAGGCGGUGGAACUUUGCUCGGUGGCCAUGGGGAGGGAUUGCCCGGUGGUGGUUUUUCAGUCGUUGCUGAGCAGCUGAGGUUUAUUUUUAUGUAUUUUAUUCUGCAUCCAGUCAUCCAUUAAAGCCAAAGUUUAUUAA